RNAcentral lists this small nucleolar RNA (160 nucleotides) under Drosophila ananassae. RNAcentral describes it as "snoRNA:GF26157". The record is from RNAcentral. Lineage: Eukaryota; Metazoa; Arthropoda; Insecta; Diptera; Drosophilidae.
AUGGCACUUAGUAGAACUAGAUUGCUGCGCCCAAUGGGCAUUCGGCUUUUUGGCGGGAUCAAACUGUGCCAGAUUAAAACUGUUAUUGCACUGGUGUGGCCGCGAAGGCGGCGUUGUGGAUGCCACAGACACAACGCCCCACCUGCAGCUUCAGACACUC